UACGUAGGGGGCGAGCGUUGUCCGGAUUCAUUGGGCGUAAAGCGCGCGUAGGCGGCUCCGCAAGUCGGCCGUGAAAUCUCCGGGCUCAACUCGGAGGGGUCGGGCGAGACUGCGGGGCUCGAGGUGGGCAGAGGGCAGUGGAAUUCCGGGUGUAGUGGUGGAAUGCGUAGAGAUCCGGAGGAACACCAGUGGCGAAGGCGGCUGCCUGGGCCUGGCCUGACGCUCAUGGCACGAAAGCCGUGGGUAGCAAACAGGG
RNAcentral lists this ribosomal RNA (256 nucleotides) under uncultured bacterium. RNAcentral describes it as "partial 16S ribosomal RNA". It matches the Rfam family "Bacterial small subunit ribosomal RNA", at positions 524 to 777 of the family's 1533-position model. The record is from RNAcentral.